GGGCGGAUGGUUUAGUGGUAUAAUUUUCCCUUAGCAUCGUCGGUCCCGAGAUAUGCCUCGGUUCCAACUGGCCUGGGAAAGGUCCGGGGUUCGAUUCCCCGUUCGUCCA
Non-coding RNA from Trichoderma citrinoviride, 109 nucleotides. NCBI's taxonomy places the organism in Eukaryota, Fungi, Ascomycota, Sordariomycetes, Hypocreales, Hypocreaceae. The record is from the annotation of a RefSeq genome assembly.